GCUGUAACCCCCAUAGUCCUCAUUUUCAAAUAAUCAUGAUCUUACGUAUAAAGCAGGCCUUGUAAGGUCUCAGGGGAAAGGUUAUGAUCUGCUGGAAGUCAUUUCUCUGUCCAUAGAUGUGUGUCAUUCAUGCAUAUUGAAUUGUGUUGUAUGGUGGUCACUAAAACAUGCUGUAAGUUAAGGAAUCAGGCAGAUAUUAGCUCCCCAGGGGCAACAGCAAGAAAAGUCACCAACACCCAGGCGGGGUGUCAAUCAACCCACCAAGAGCCAUUGUCCAGCAAGGUAGCGACAAUGCAGUGACUCACCUGCGUAAGGCCACACCAGGGGAAUUGC
Molecule: long non-coding RNA, 333 nt
Organism: Chelonia mydas (Green sea turtle)
Lineage: Eukaryota; Metazoa; Chordata; Testudines; Cheloniidae
Exons: 3
Source: RefSeq, a predicted model, not a curated record